This is an RNA transcript of Gorilla gorilla gorilla (western lowland gorilla), 1816 nucleotides long. It is a transcript of the gene named RNPC3 divergent transcript, with no coding region annotated. The record is from RefSeq and is a predicted model, not a curated record. The transcript is spliced from 6 exons. Lineage: Eukaryota; Metazoa; Chordata; Mammalia; Primates; Hominidae.
GGGGCGGGGCGCACGGCGGGGCGGGGCGCACGGCGGCGAGCGUUAUCUGGAGCUGACCGCGCGGCUCUUAAUCCCUGGCCUUGGGAAAGUGAAUUGGCCUGAAUAGCAAGGAGGAGAACUUGGGUGUGGAAAUACCGGAAUCUCACUCUAUUGCUCAGGCUGGAGUGCAGUGGCCACAAAGCGGGAGUUGAAGAAUGAAGUAAAAUGAAGGCGGGUAUUCAAAGAUGUCUAAUUCCAACUGCGGGUUUAAAGGAAUUCACCUAAGAAUACAUGGGAUUGGCACGAGGGAUACCAACACCGGAAUACGUGAUGAGAUGUGUGAAGAGCAUGGCAAUGGAUGCAAACUCUCUUUGUGUUUCUGGCUUUAAGCAGCUCUAUACUGUCAUGCUGUCCUACACUCAGCAGCAAUUUGUCACAAGUUUGGCGAAAUUCUUCCUACUCUUUUGAACUCCAGCCCAAUUUCCUUUCUGUCACUGCCCUAGGUCCUACUCUUCCAGAAGAAAAAGGGAAAACCGAACCUGAAUGUCCCCUAAAAGUGAAGAAAUGUCCACACUUCUAUGUGCAGAUUGUAGACCUUUGGAAUCUACAUUCAACAUUUGAUACUGUGUGUGACUCCUGAUGAACAUGCUGAAGAUACAUGAUGUCCAGUAAUUUUUACUGGGGAUAAUACCUACAACAUACAUAAGAUGGUGUUAUUAAAGUACAUUUAAAAUUACACAAGACAUUUUAAAAUUAUAUAAGUGUAUAUAACGAAUUUAGCACAAAUUUCAAUUACCUUGGCUUAAGAUGAUUUAGCUGUUUCGUAAGUUAACAAAGACCUACCAUUUACUUCCUAUUUAGUCUAUGGCUGAAUUUGGAAUUUUUGAAAAUCUUUUGAUAGCCUCUGAGAACUUACUAUUAUAUGUACUCAUUUACUUCCUAAUGAAAGCUAUUAACAAGAUUUAUUUUAGGAAGUUUAUCUCAGACAGGUUUAUGUCCUUAUGGAGCUUUCAAUCUUAAUUUCAAAGAUGAAAAGGAAAGUUGUGUGUGAAACAGCACAGAGUACUUUACAGCUUGUUCCAAGAGCUACAGGGAGCAGCAUGGACAGUGGAAACUCACAUAAAGUUCUUCAAAAUUUACUGUUUCUUCUGCUCCCUGAAAAUUGUAAUCAGUUCCUCUUUUCCUACUUAACAGGAAAAAUAAGUCCAAUGGAAUAGUCUGUUGAUUAAUAAAGUUCUAUCAUUUCUUCUUCAUGAAAUGACUAAUUUAACAAAUUAAAUCCUUCAUUUAUUAAGGUUUGUUUAUUACUUAUUUUUCCUCUAUUCCUUUCUCUGAGCUACAAAUCACAGAGAUUUAUAUUUACUUAAAAUUUUCUUAGCACUACCAAUUUGCCUAUUUAAUGAUCAUUUAUGGCCCAUCUGUUGUAUUACUUGGGAUAUUUUAAAUUGGAUUGAUAGAACUUUACAUUCAAUUAAGUAGAAAUACCAAUUCCAGAGAAGGACUCUUACUAUCUUUAUUUAGACUAUGAUUUGGCUCUGUGUCCUCACCCAAAUCUCAUCUCAAAUUGUAAUCUCCACCUGUCAGGGGAGGGAUCAGGUUGGAGGUGAUUGGAUCAUGAGGGUGGUUUCCCCCAUGCUGUUCUCAGGAUAUUGAGUAACUCAGGAUAGCUGAUGGUUUUAAAGUGUGGCACUUCCUCGUGCUUGCACUUCUCUCUCCUGCCACCAUGUGAAGAAGGGCCUUACUUUCCCUUUGCCUUCCACCAUGAUUGUAAGUUUUUUGAACCCUCUCCAGCCAUGUGGAACUAUGAGUCAAUUAAACCUCUUUCUUUUAUAAAUUA